Molecule: small nucleolar RNA, 126 nt
Organism: Trichechus manatus latirostris (Florida manatee)
Lineage: Eukaryota; Metazoa; Chordata; Mammalia; Sirenia; Trichechidae
Product: small nucleolar RNA SNORA5
Exons: 1
Source: RefSeq, a predicted model, not a curated record
UCGUGGCCACAGUUCCCUCCUUUGGGCAUAGAGGGGGCUGGACUAGAAGCACGUGCUCAGUGGAACUGGGCCUCACAGGUGGAAUCAAAGGGUUCUGUGGCCUAAUAAAUCUGGGCCCAGAGGUUC